RNAcentral lists this long non-coding RNA (1006 nucleotides) under Homo sapiens (human). RNAcentral's name for it is "HSALNT0091446". Lineage: Eukaryota; Metazoa; Chordata; Mammalia; Primates; Hominidae. The record is from RNAcentral.
CGUACAUUGUCCUCAGAUCAGAAUUCCUCAGACUCGAUAGCUAUGAUAAGAGAAAACCUCGGAAAUACAAGAAUUCUUUUUCUGCUAUAGUGCAGUAAUAUCAUCAUGGCUCACUGCAAUCUCGACUUCUCCAGCUCAAACAAUCCUCCCACCUCAGCCUCCCAAGCAGUUGGGACUACAGGCACGUGUCAUUACACCCAGUUACAGAAAGCUUUUCAUGGUUCACUGACUGAGGACAAUCAACCCCUUCAUAAUCCAUAACCCAAAGAUUGAACUGUCUGAGAACACCAGAGAAAGACUGCUCCUGCCAUCCACAUUGCAGCAAACCUUCAGGACCUUGAACCUUGGGUUCAUAGUCUUACAACUCAGAAGCAUCCCUCCACACUCUCAAAACUGGACAUCCUUGGGAACCCUUAAGGUAAAGCUAACCAGGGAAGAUUUUCUGCCCAGAAGAUGGCAUCCUUUUCCCCAAGAUCACAGAAGCUUUUUCCCAAGAUCACAGAUCAAGACUUCUCUAGUACCAUGAGACUCUUAUCUUUGAAUUUUUCCCCUUGCUAUGCCUCUAUAAACAAUAGAAGUAAAAAUGGAAUCUGUUGUGUGCACUCAUGGGGUAUACUUUUAUUUGUGAAGGAUGCUGCAGCCAUGCAGACUUAUACAUGGAUAACAGAUAUGGUUUGGCUCUGUGUCCCCACCCAAAACUCAUGUUGAAUUGUAAUCCCCAGUGUUUGUGAGGACUGGUGGGAGGUGAUUGGAUCAUGGUUGUGGUUUCUAAUGGUUUAACGUGAUCCCUUUAGUACUGUCUUGUGAUAGAGUUCUCAUGAGGUCUGGUUGUUUAAAAGUGUGUGGAACCUUCCUGUUCACUCUUUCUCCUGCUCUGACAAGUGAAGAUGUGACUGCUUUUCCUUCAACUUCUGCCAUGAUUGUAAAUUUCCUGAGGCCUCUUCAGCCAUGCUUCCUGUACAACCUGCAGAACUGUGAGUCAAUUAAACCACUUUUUUUUUAUAAA